RNAcentral lists this ribosomal RNA (503 nucleotides) under uncultured Planctomycetota bacterium. RNAcentral's name for it is "uncultured planctomycete partial 16S ribosomal RNA". Lineage: Bacteria; Pseudomonadati; Planctomycetota. The record is from RNAcentral.
CUCCACCGCUUGUGUGAGCCCCCGUCAAUUCCCUUGAGUUUCAGCCUUGCGACCAUACUCCCCAGGCGGGGUACUUAACACUUUUGCUUCGACUGUAAACCCAUGUUAAGUCUACAAUCUAGUACCCAUCGUUUAGGGCCAGGACUACCGGGGUAUCUAAUCCCGUUUGCUCCCCUGGCUUUCGCGCCUCAGCGUCAGAAAAGGUCCAGCACGUCGCUUUCGCCACCGGCGUUCCUUCCGAUAUCUACGCAUUUCACCGCUCCACCGGAAGUUCCACAUGCCCCUACCUUCCUCAAGACAACCAGUAUCCAGGGCUAUUCUCCAGUUAAGCUGGAGGAUUUCACCCCGGACUUGAUCACCCGCCUACGCGCCCUUUAAGCCCAGUGAAUCCGAACAACGUUCGCACGGUUCGUCUUACCGCGGCUGCUGGCACGAACUUAGCCCGUGCUUCCUCCAGAGAUCGAUCAACCUUGCGGCUUUCUUUCUUUCGACAGUGCUUUACA